AUAUGCAUAUCUAUAUGAAAUCGCAGCUUUGUGCUGACACUUAACGCUCAUUUUUUUUUUCAAACUAAAUCACGUGAUUAAAAUUAAACAGAAUAGUGAAAUCUGAAUGUCAUUUUUGAUCACGUGAUCUAGUUUGACGCUAAAAAUGAGCGUCGAACGUCAGCAUGAAAAGUCAGCCUAAGGGCCAUGGCACAUAAAAAAACUUGAGCAAAAGUAUUUUCUAGAACAUACACUAUGGACACUACUUACAUAUAUAGAAUUACAUGGAACAUCCAAUGUAUAUGAGAGACUUAACUACAUAAACAAGUACCCCGACAGCCAAACAUGAAAAGACAGAUUAUGCGCAAAGUCAGUUAUAAAUUUCUGAUGCUAGAAAACUAAUAGAUUGCUAACAAAUUCUGUAAUAUCCGACAAUGUUAGCAAACUGCUGCCAGAAACUUGGCAGAAUUUGUUGACAUUCUGUGCCAGCAGAUUGGUAGUAGAAAGCGAACAAGACCUGCGCGACACAAUUUGAUGGCAGGAUCUGUCCAAUUUCUGCUGCCAGUCUGCUGACACAGAAUGUCAACAGGUUCUAUUAAUAGAAUGUAAACAGAAUGAGAUCUCAGAUGAAGUCAGUCUGCUAACAUUUUCUGAUUAAAUCUGUUGCCACUUUGCUGACAUUCUGCUAAUAUUUUGCUGACUGGAUACAUGUAAAUAUUGGUGC
Molecule: long non-coding RNA, 703 nt
Organism: Pogonomyrmex barbatus (red harvester ant)
Lineage: Eukaryota; Metazoa; Arthropoda; Insecta; Hymenoptera; Formicidae
Source: RefSeq, a predicted model, not a curated record